Panicum virgatum (switchgrass) is the source of this 531-nucleotide long non-coding RNA. RefSeq lists it as uncharacterized. The record is from RefSeq and is a predicted model, not a curated record. NCBI's taxonomy places the organism in Eukaryota, Viridiplantae, Streptophyta, Magnoliopsida, Poales, Poaceae. The transcript has 2 exons.
CCUCCAAUUCCUUCGCUACCCCCACAAUUCUUGCUUGUUGGAUGUCGGAGGAGUUUGAGGAGAGAUGGGAGGAAGAAGAUGAGGAGGAGCUUCUGCUUGAGCAAAGAGGAGGGAGGGAGAGAGAGAAUGUCCUGUGGUUGGCCAGUGCAGCUGCUGAGAGGAGUAUGCGUUCUUGCUCAUGACUCAUGAGGUCCACGACAGUCAACCGGCCGGGAUUCCACGGAGGAACGCGGCGGAGGAAGCCACCAUGGGAUGGAAGGAAGCCCUGGGAAUGGCGGUUUGUGGGGCCUCUCACGUGCGUGGGGCGGCGCGGCACGUGCGGCCACACCCCGCUUAAUUCCCUGGGCGUCACUGUUUAGUGCUGCCUUUCCUGUUCUCACUUUUUCUUCGUGUGCGCCAUAUGGCACCUGCUUCUUGUAUUUUCGGUGUACUGUUGUUCUAUGUAAUUCCUUUCUUCACCUAAGCACUUCAAUGGUAUAGUUUGAACCAAAGAUAAAGCAAACUUUAAAUUUAAAACUCAAGUAUUUUUUU